UACGGAGGGUGCAAGCGUUAUCCGGAUUCACUGGGUUUAAAGGGUGCGUAGGUGGGCAAGUAAGUCAGUGGUGAAAUCUCCGGGCUUAACCCGGAAACUGCCAUUGAUACUAUUUGUAUUGAAUACUGUGGAGGUCAGCGGAAUAUGUCAUGUAGCGGUGAAAUGCUUAGAUAUGACAUAGAACACCAAUUGCGAAGGCAGCUGGCUACACAAAUAUUGACACUGAGGAACGAAAGCCAGGGGAGCAAACGGG
RNAcentral lists this ribosomal RNA (253 nucleotides) under uncultured prokaryote. RNAcentral describes it as "partial 16S ribosomal RNA". It matches the Rfam family "Bacterial small subunit ribosomal RNA", at positions 524 to 776 of the family's 1533-position model. The record is from RNAcentral.